UAGGGCUAUACGGAUUCGAACCGUAGACAUUCUCGGUGUAAACGAGGCGCUCUACCGCUGAGCUAUAGCCCU
This 72-nucleotide transfer RNA is filed under the name Huperzia lucidula (shining club moss). RNAcentral describes it as "tRNA-Val". RNAcentral also lists the same sequence under 1 other name. The record is from RNAcentral. Lineage: Eukaryota; Viridiplantae; Streptophyta; Lycopodiopsida; Lycopodiales; Lycopodiaceae.